RNAcentral lists this ribosomal RNA (334 nucleotides) under uncultured bacterium. Its description in RNAcentral is "SSU rRNA". It matches the Rfam family "Bacterial small subunit ribosomal RNA", at positions 29 to 367 of the family's 1533-position model. The record is from RNAcentral.
ACGUACGCUGGCGGCACGCCUAACACAUGCAAGUCGAACGAAGUAGCAAUACUUGGUGGCGACCGGCGCACGGGUGCGUAACGCGUAUGCAACCUACCCAUUACUGGAGGAUAGCCCGAGGAAACUCGGAUUAAUACUCCAUAGUAUCAUAAAGACACAUGUUUUAAUGAUUAAAGAUUUAUUGGUAAUGGAUGGGCAUGCGUAUCAUUAGAUAGUUGGUGGGGUAAUGGCCUACCAAGUCUACGAUCUAUAGCUGGUUUGAGAGGAUGAUCAGCAACACUGGGACUGAGACACGGCCCAGACUCCUACGGGAGGCAGCAGUGGGGAAUCUUAG